UGAAUGGUGUACGUAAGUUAUCCUGGAGCGGUGAGUAAAGCAAAUGUAGGAAUAAGUAACGAUAAGGAGGGUUAGAUUCCCUCCCGCUGUAAGACCAAGGUUUCCCGGGCAAUGCCAAUCAGCCCGGGGUCAGUCGGGUCCUAAGUCUAAGCCGAACGGCGAUGGCGAUGGCAGAGACGGUUAAUAUUCCGUCACUGCCGCAUGGGGCGACGUGGAGACGGAGCAGUGAAACCACCGCGGGGCGACGGAAGUCCCCGUUGAAGAGUGUAGGCGUUGAGGAUGGCAGGCAAAUCCACCGUCCGAGCUGAACUUGAUAGUAUGGAGUCUUCUUCGGAAGAAUCCAAUAGUGUGGGUAAUCAUACUCCCGAGAAAAUCCGCUAAGCUUAACCCAUGCGGCACCCGUACCGCAAACGGACACACGUGGUCGGGUAGAACAUACUGAGGCGUUGAGAGAUUCAUGGUUAAGGAACUAGGCAAAUUGACCCUGUAACUUCGGGAUAAAGGGUCCUCGUGAAGAGCGAGGCGCAGAGAAUAGGUCCAGGCAACUGUUUAACAAAAACACAGGGCUGUGCAAACUCGAAAGAUGACGUAUACAGCCUGACACCUGCCCGGUGCCGGAAGGUUAAGAGGAGAUGUCACACUUAUGUGGAAGCAUUGAAUUGAAGCCCCGGUAAACGGCGGCCGUAACAAUAACGGUCCUAAGGUAGCGAAAUUCCUUGUCGGGUAAGUUCCGACCUGCACGAAUGGUGUAAUGAUCCGGACGCUGUCUCAACCAUGAGCUCAGUGAAAUUGUAGUAUCGGUGAAGAUGCCGAUUACCCGCGAUGGGACGAAAAGACCCCGCGAACCUUUACUACAGCUUAGCAUUGACCUUGGUCAUCCGAUGUGUAGGAUAGGCCGGAGGCUUCGAAGCGGGAGCGCCAGCUUUCGUGGAGCCAUCCUUGAAAUACGGCCCUUUGGCUGUCUGGGGUCUAACGCGUGAUACGCGGACACUGCUUGGUGGGUAGUUUGACUGGGGUGGUCGCCUCCAAAAGCGUAACGGAGGCUUCCAAAGGUGCCCUCGGGUCGAUUGGUAACCGACCUCAAAGAGUGCAUGGCAUAAGGGCGCUUGACUGGGAGGCAGACAUGCCGAGCAGGCAGGAAACUGGGGCAUAGUGAUCCGGCGGAUGUGUAUGGAAACUCCGUCGCUCAAAGGAUAAAAGGUACUCCGGGGAUAACAGGCUGAUCCCCCCCAAGAGCUCAUAUCGACGGGGUGGUUUGGCACCUCGAUGUCGGCUCGUCACAUCCUGGGGCUGGAGAAGGUCCCAAGGGUUGGGCUGUUCGCCCAUUAAAGUGGCACGCGAGCUGGGUUCAGAGCGUCGUGAGACAGUUCGGUCUCUAUCUAUCGUGGGCGUGGGAGUUUUGAGUGGUGCCGUCACUAGUACGAGAGGACCGUGAUGGACAGACCUCCGGUUUACCAGUUGUGCCGCCAGGCGCACCGCUGGGUACCUGAGUCUGGAUUGGAUAAGCGCUGAAAGCAUCUAAGUGCGAAGCCAGCCGCAAGAUGAGAACUCCAUUGAGGGUCGUCAGAGACGAUGACGUUGAUAGGAUGCAGGUGUAAAGACAGCGAUGUCAAAGCCGAGCAUUACUGAUUGCCCGA
RNAcentral lists this ribosomal RNA (1637 nucleotides) under metagenome. RNAcentral's name for it is "bacterial LSU rRNA". It matches the Rfam family "Bacterial large subunit ribosomal RNA", at positions 1251 to 2912 of the family's 2925-position model. The record is from RNAcentral.